UACGAAGGGGGCUAGCGUUGUUCGGAAUUACUGGGCGUAAAGCGUGCGCAGGCGGUUUUGUAAGCCGGAUGUGAAAUCCCCGGGCUUAACCUGGGAAUGGCAUUCGGGACUGCAAGGCUGGAGUGCGGCAGAGGAGACUGGAAUUCCUGGUGUAGCGGUGAAAUGCGCAGAUAUCAGGAGGAACACCGGUGGCGAAGGCGCUGCUCUGGGCCGAAACUGACGCUGAGGAGCGAAAGCGUGGGUAGCAAACAGG
This 253-nucleotide ribosomal RNA is filed under the name uncultured bacterium. Its description in RNAcentral is "partial 16S ribosomal RNA". It matches the Rfam family "Bacterial small subunit ribosomal RNA", at positions 524 to 776 of the family's 1533-position model. The record is from RNAcentral.